Molecule: long non-coding RNA, 2905 nt
Organism: Marmota monax (woodchuck)
Lineage: Eukaryota; Metazoa; Chordata; Mammalia; Rodentia; Sciuridae
Exons: 3
Source: RefSeq, a predicted model, not a curated record
CAUUGUGGGAGCUUUCGGGCGGCGGGGGAGCGCGGCGCGGCCCUCGGGCACACCCGGGCCAGACUCCAACGGCCCCUCGUGCGUCGGCCCGCCGCGCGCAGAGGCCUGCGGACCCGAAAGCCAGACGCCGUGAGCUGUAAUCAUGUCCCUGUUAAGGUUUCCUGGGAUCACACCAAAUGUUUUUCUUUGAUGGGAUGUGUAAAUAACUCUACUUGCAGAUUCUAAUUAUAUUCUUGGAAAAAAUAUGUAACUAGAAAGGGCUUUAGAGGCUGAGCUCUCUAUACCCUUGCAAUGGUCAUGGUUACCUGUGCCACCAUUAGACCAAGUAUGUCUUUGGAAGCAGUUUGGGACAAUUUCAGAGGAGCCCACAUGUCUUGUCUCUGUGAAUACAGAACGUGCAGUUGUCAAGCAAGAAACCAGCAUCCCUUGGUGAGUUCUGCAGUCAGUAAGCUGUGAGUAGUCAGUCAGCCUCACAGAGAACAGCCCUCUGCAGUAUUUAAGACACUACUCAACCUCAGAUCAAGCUGCUCAAAUUUGCCUUUUACUCAAGAUCAAGCAUCUUCAGAAGUCAUGCUGUAAGCAGUAGGGAAACUAUCAAGUUGAACUGAAACAGAACAGCUAAAAAGAAGAAAACAAAUGUGUACUUGACAGAUGCAAAGAGGCUGAGUGUUCACUGGGGCCCUUUUUGUUUCCCCUGGACUAAUUUAAGAAUCUUCUGCCAUGAAGCUUGUUCUAGUUUGCAUUUCAAUAUGUUUCCCUUAAUAUUAAACCAUGAACUUUCCAUGGGCCAAUUAAACAAAAAUGAAAUAGAGGUCAGUCUCUUCCUGAAUUCCUGUCAAUUAUGAACAUUCUUUCUCUACACUUGGUCACCUUCUCACUGUGACUGCCAAUCUAAGAUCCUCAUUGCAGGUAGCAAUCACAUUCCUGGUGAUUAGACCAGAAUAAAAGCUCAAUUGCAAGUUGUUCUCAUCCCUCCCUGGAAGAGAUCAUGCAUAUGUGAGUCUUAGUCUCUUUUUCUUCCCAAACUAAAAUGUGUCUCUCCCUCUGCUUCUCUCUUACAUGUACACGUAGACAGGUAUAUGUGAUGCCUUCUCUCUUCCUUUGUCUUUCCUAUUUCUAGAAUCCUCCCUUUCUAUAUUUCUAUUCAUUAUUUUUCUCCCUCCCAUAUUGUUCCCCAAACUACCUUUAAUGUACAGCUGGUAAAUAUAAGUAUUUGUCUUGUGAUAAAAUUUGGAGGAAAAAGCAAAGUUGUACAUCUUGGUGUUUAUUUGAACUAAGAAACUCUGUCUUCUACAGUAAGUUCACUUUGACUACAUCAAAGUAUUUGUUUCCUGCCCAUGCUCUACCUUAUCCUAAUGUAAUUAAAUUUCACUUUCUUUUAUAAAAUAUACCUUAAAACUAUUUCUAGUCAACAGUUUUCUACUUUGAGUACUAUAGUACAGUAUUGUCUUCCACUGCUGUUCAUCGCAGACAUGCUACAUAAGGUAAAUUAGCCCUUUUGAAAUAAUUUUGGAAACUGGCCAUUUUCAGAACAUUGUUUCUAUGAGAAAAUGAAUUUCCAGCCUUUAGAACAUGAUUUAUUUUAAAAGUUAGCUAUUUCCUAUGCCUGUUUGGUAACAAAAAUCUUUUUGAUGUGGUGACCUCAAAUCAGAAAGACCUGCCUUGGUUUUUACCUUGUUAAAUAUUUUCAUAAUUGAAACGGAUUAACCUAUUUAUUUCUUGUAUUUUGUCAUGUGUGUAACAUUCUAGAGAGACCUUGCAAUGCAUACUGUUGGUUUAUUUAUAGUUUUUCACAAUCAAAAGGCAUAUGAAAGCUGCAGUUUUCUGCUAUUUCUAUUCUUCCACUCUUCCUGGGCACAUGGAGAGAUUAUCUUUUCUAAUCUCCCUAUUAGCUUGUUGACAUGGUCGUGUGACUGGAUAUUUGUCAAUGGAAUAUGGAUGCUGGUGGUUUGUGAAACUUCUCCCUCAUUUGUGUAAGAGGAAAUCCCUAGCCAGGGACUGUCUCCCUGUCCCCUGUUUAGCUAGUUGCAAUGGUGACUACCAGAGCACCCCGGAAGCCAACUGUUGAUGGCAGAGCUGCCACCAGACUGUUGCUGGUGACUGUCGGAAGCAGAGCUCACCAAGGUAGGUCGCUUACCUGGAACUGUUACCUGGGAAACAGAUAAACUUCAUGUUUUAGAAAACAUUUUAGUUUUAAUAGAUACAUAAUAAUUGUAUGUACUUAUGAGGUGUGAUUUUAAUACAGCAUGCAGUGAUUUAUUGAGUAUAAUUAGCAUAUCCAUCACCUCAAAUGUUUAUCAUUUCCUUGUGGUGAGAACAUUCAAAAUCCUUAUAAAUUAUUAUUAAGUCUAGUCAGCAAAUUGUGCUAUUGAAUGCUAGAACUUUUUCCUCUUAUCUACUUGCUAGCCAACCUCUCCCUAAUGGUCCUCCCCCUACUUUUCUUUUUCUUUUAAUUUUUAAAAUUUGUUCUAAUUAGUUAUAUAUGACAGUAGAAAUCAUUUAUGCACUUUGAUAUAUCAUACAUAAAUAAAGUGUAAUUUCUUGUUUUCCUGAUUGAACAUGUUGUAGAAUCAUGUUGGUCAUGCUAUCGUGUAUGUACCUAAGAUAUAAUGUCUGUCUCAUUCUACUUUUCCAUUGAAUUUUUGGGUUCUCUUUCUUAUAGCAGCUUAGCCUACUCUAAUACUGCUACAAUGAGUAGUUUCAAUCUUGUUGUAAAGUAUUUUACCUCAAUAUGCUGAAUGAUAAAACUACAUAUGUGAGAAGUAAUUUUCUUAAGAAAACAAAACACUAGACAUUUUCAGCUAUUUACUUAGGUUCUGAUAGUGAAUUUUUCUAAACAUUCAAAAAUGUAUAAGGCUAAUUUAAUCUUUUAGUCAAACAUAAAAAAUUGUUUACCAAAACCAGA